Molecule: long non-coding RNA, 526 nt
Organism: Balaenoptera acutorostrata (minke whale)
Lineage: Eukaryota; Metazoa; Chordata; Mammalia; Artiodactyla; Balaenopteridae
Exons: 3
Source: RefSeq, a predicted model, not a curated record
GGCGGGGCCUCUCUUACUCCAUCCUCAGGGUCUUGUGAGUGACUACGGACCUAAAAUCCCCACACCCGCCCCUGAAUUUACCCCAGAAAUGUUUUUGUUUCAGGAACAGCUGACUUUCGAAGAUGUGGCCAUCGAUUUCUCUCAGGAGGGGUGGGAAUGCCUGACCCUGCUCAGAGGGCCUUGUACAGGGACAUGAUGUUGGAGACGUAAAGGAACCCGAUCUCCCUGGGGGACACGGGUUCGAGUCUUGGUCCGGGAAGAUCCCACAUGCCGCGGAGCAGCUAAUCCUGUACACCACAACUACUGAGCCUGAGCCCUAGAGCCCACGAGCCACAACUCCUCAGCCCACGCACUGCAUCUACUGAAGCCCAAGUGCUCCAGAGCCCGUGCUCCGCAAGAAGAGAAGCCACCGCAAUGAGAAGCCCGCGCACUGCAACGAAGAGUAGCUCCUGCUCGCCACAACUAGAGAAAGCCCGCAUGCAGCAACGAAGACCCAACACAGCCAAAAAAUAAUAAAUAAAUAAAA